Molecule: non-coding RNA, 21 nt
Filed under: Caenorhabditis elegans
Lineage: Eukaryota; Metazoa; Nematoda; Chromadorea; Rhabditida; Rhabditidae
Source: RNAcentral
UGAACUAGUGAUUUUCAAUAC